Long non-coding RNA from Drosophila virilis, 1045 nucleotides. RefSeq lists it as uncharacterized. The record is from RefSeq and is a predicted model, not a curated record. Lineage: Eukaryota; Metazoa; Arthropoda; Insecta; Diptera; Drosophilidae.
ACGUCAAGCAAUCGGAACUUCUAACUCAUGAACAAAAUAAACAGCUGUAACAACUAUGAACAUGUAAGCAACAAAGCGUACCCGCCCAACCACGAGACGAUCACCUACUCGUCUCCCACUUUUUGGCCACUAAAUGGCCUACAUUAGCCCGUGUCGACCAUCAUGCCCACUCUCCCCAACAAUAUUACUUUAGCCGGACAUACUUUCUUUCAAUAUCUAUUUAGAAUCUCAUGCAAGUGGAUAUUUCGUUAACUUCAAAGAUGAAUUAGUAUUCAUGCACGUGAACAUUUCUUCCCCGAAUUCAUUUUUUAUUUUAACAGUACUAAAUGAAACAGGCGACGAAAUACUACAAAGAUAUUGCUAGUCGCCGCAAAAGAAACACGCACGGAGACGAUUUACAGGCAAUCUUUACGCCGAUUUAGGAACAAUGUGCCUACUUAACUUCUUAAAACUGGGUAUGUCACGAUAAUCAGUCGUGCAACAGAUAGGUGAUUACCCUAUCUAAAGAGCUCUCUGGGGGUGGUAAGGGGCGAUAUAAAUGGGUAAUUCCAAUUAGGUGCAGAUGCAUCACCUUAGAAAAUUUUCCAUCACCGUUCGUACUCUAAAGUGAAACUCGGCGUAAGUGCUUAUCUCCUUUUCAGGGAGUACGAUCAGGAGUCUCCAUCAUUUCUCUGCCAAGGGCUCGAACUAGGAUGGGUACAAUGGAACGGACUCACUCGGAGAAUGUGGGCGUGGUCUCGCCUGUGGCCGCUUCUUCGUUGCUGAUGCCCGGUCGUUGGAGGCUCGUCUCGUCGCAUUAAGCAUUGCGCCGACGCUUGGCUGCGUCCGGCGUCGCGGAUAUGGCUGGUGUGCGCCGCUGAGCCGAAUCCAGGCCGUUGGUAUGUUUCGUGGGCUUCUCUGGUGCGGGAGCUAGUCUUUUUGUUGCCGGAGCCGUUAAUUUUUAUUUUUUUAUUAGUACGUCUCGUCGCACUUAAGUUUUAAGUUUUUUUUUUUUUUAUAUUUUGUGACUUGAGCGUUUUAAUUUACGUAUAUUUAUUAAAUUGCA